RNAcentral lists this ribosomal RNA (463 nucleotides) under uncultured bacterium. Its description in RNAcentral is "partial 16S ribosomal RNA". It matches the Rfam family "Bacterial small subunit ribosomal RNA", at positions 28 to 507 of the family's 1533-position model. The record is from RNAcentral.
GACGAACGCUGGCGGCGCGCCUAACACAUGCAAGUCGAACGGUGAAGAGGAGCUUGCUCCUCGGAACAGUGGCGGACGGGUGAGUAACACGUGAGCAACCUGGCUCUAAGAGGGGGACAACAGUUGGAAACGACUGCUAAUACCGCAUGACGUAUCGGGAUGGCAUCUUCCUGAUACCAAAGAUUUUAUCGCUUAGAGAUGGGCUCGCGUCUGAUUAGAUAGUUGGCGGGGUAACGGCCCACCAAGUCGACGAUCAGUAGCCGGACUGAGAGGUUGAACGGCCACAUUGGGACUGAGACACGGCCCAGACUCCUACGGGAGGCAGCAGUGGGGGAUAUUGGACAAUGGGGGCAACCCUGAUCCAGCGACGCCGCGUGAGGGAGGAAGGUUUUCGGAUUGUAAACCUCUGUUGACGGAGAAAAAAAUGAUGGUAUCCGUUUAGAAAGCCACGGCUAACUACGUG